RNAcentral lists this ribosomal RNA (1045 nucleotides) under uncultured Neocallimastigales. RNAcentral describes it as "partial large subunit ribosomal RNA". The stretch from base 249 to 1045 matches the Rfam family "Eukaryotic large subunit ribosomal RNA", at positions 1 to 656 of the family's 3401-position model. The record is from RNAcentral. Lineage: Eukaryota; Fungi; Neocallimastigomycota; Neocallimastigomycetes; Neocallimastigales.
CGCAUCUGUGCAUGCAGCAUAUCAAUAAGCGGAGGAAAAGUCAACUACCUACGCUUAGGAUGUUGACACACGCGCGUGCUCGACUCUAUACAUGACUCUGUGCAUAUCAAUAAGCGGAGGAAAAGGCUGCGGAACUGAACGACCGCUACCUACGCUUAGGAUGUUGACACACGCGCGUGCUCGGCUCUAUACAUGACUCUGUGCAUAUCAAUAAGCGGAGGAAAAGUCAAUACCUACGCUUAGGAUGUUGACACACGCGCGUGCUCGACUCUAUACAUGACUCUGUGCAUAUCAAUAAGCGGAGGAAAAGAAACUAACAAGGAUUCCCUUAGUAACGGCGAGUGAAGCGGGAAGAGCUCAAAUUUGAAAUCUUCAAGGUUUUACCUUGACGAAUUGUAGUUUAAAGAAGUGUUUUCUGUUGAAGUUUUGGUAAAAGUUCUUUGGAAUAGGACAUCAUAGAGGGUGAGAAUCCCGUAUUUGACCAUUAUUUUCAGCUGUGUGAUACACUUUCAAAGAGUCGGAUUGUUUGGGAAUGCAGUCCAAAAUGGGUGGUAAAUUUCAUCUAAAGCUAAAUAUUGGCGAGAGACCGAUAGCGAACAAGUACCGUGAGGGAAAGAUGAAAAGAACUUUGAAAAGAGAGUUAAACAGUACGUGAAAUUGUCAAAAGGGAAGCGUUUGACACCAGUGUUGUUUUCUCGAAAAUCAAUUAAAAAGAGUUAGAUUUUGUUGUGUAUUGACCUUAACAGCUUGCAUUUCAAUUUUCUUGCUUUUUUUAAUGCACUUUUCGUUUAACAAGUCAACAUCAGUUUCUUUUGUUGUAAAAAGGUCAUUGGAAGGUGGCUUUCUUUUCGGAGAAAGUGUUUAUAGCCUUUGACUCCUGCAAUCGGAGAGACUGAGGUCUGCAGCGUAGGAUCCUUCGGGGUUAGAUACAUUUGUGCUAAGUUAUAGCUUUUUAUAGACAACUUGUUGACUAUGAUUAGUCUUGUAGCUUACUCGCUUAUGCUAUUUUACCUACGCUUAGGAUGUUGACACACGCGCGUGCUCG